AUCAUUUUGUCUCUUCUUCUGGGAUGGUCCCUGCACUUUGAGGUCUUUCCAUCAAACUUCUCAAUUAAUACUAGGGCAGAAAUUCCUCACUGGGGUUCCGGGGUUCCAGACCUGUUCUCAACUGGGCCCAGGUUGUCUGAACACACCACUGCCUCACAUUGGAAGUCUUUUCUUUUUAUAUUGGAGCUGCUAAUGGAGGGAAAGAAUCCCUGUGCUCUAAACUGCAGGAAAAAGAAGGAAAGACACAAGAAAUAUCAUGAAGUAAUAGCCAGCAAAGGCGAGUAAUACAAGGCAGGAAUUCAAGCAAGGCAGAAACUUGGGGACAGAAAUCAUGGAGAGAAGCUGCUUACUGCUGAGACCAUGGAGGAACACUCCUUACUCCUGGGACCAUGGAGGAAUAUGCUUACUGCUGGGACCAUGGAGGAAUGCUGCUACUGGUUUUCUCAUGAGAUCAGAUUCAGCCACUAUUCUUUAAUAAAAAUAAUUCCGAUGUAGAAAA
This is a long non-coding RNA of Mastomys coucha (southern multimammate mouse), 499 nucleotides long. RefSeq lists it as uncharacterized. Lineage: Eukaryota; Metazoa; Chordata; Mammalia; Rodentia; Muridae. The record is from RefSeq and is a predicted model, not a curated record. The transcript has 5 exons.